Molecule: small nuclear RNA, 93 nt
Organism: Delphinapterus leucas (beluga whale)
Lineage: Eukaryota; Metazoa; Chordata; Mammalia; Artiodactyla; Monodontidae
Source: Ensembl
AAUUAAUUAAUUAAAAAUUAAAAUUAGAACAAUAUAGAGAAGAUUAGCCUAGGCACGGAUGACACGCAUAUUCACAUAGUGUUCCAUAUUUUU